AGAGUUUGAUCCUGGCUCAGGACGAACGCUGGCGGCGUGCCUAACACAUGCAAGUCGAGCGAGGUGAGUUCCUUCGGGAACAAACCUAGCGGCGGACGGGUGAGUAACACGUGGGCAACCUACCUUAUAGAGGGGAAUAGCCUCCCGAAAGGGAGAUUAAUACCGCAUAAGAUUGCACUUUCGCAUGAAAGAGCAAUUAA
This 200-nucleotide ribosomal RNA is filed under the name uncultured bacterium. RNAcentral describes it as "partial 16S ribosomal RNA". It matches the Rfam family "Bacterial small subunit ribosomal RNA", at positions 8 to 204 of the family's 1533-position model. The record is from RNAcentral.